GACGAACGCUGGCGGCGCGCUUAACACAUGCAGGUCGAACGGAAAGGCCUGCUUUCCCUUGUGGAUUGCGGGUACUCGAGUGGCGAACGGGUGAGUAACACGUGAGUGAUCUGUCCCCAACUUGGGUAUAAGCCUGGGAAACUGGGUCUAAUUCCCGAUAGGACUGCAGGGUGGUGCCUGUGGUGGAAAACGAUUUUCUAGUGGUUGGGGAUGAGCUCGCGGCCUAUCAGCUUGUUGGUGGGGUAAUGGCCUACCAAGGCGGCGACGGGUAGCCGGCCUGAGAGGGUGGACGGCCACAUUGGGACUGAGAUACGGCCCAGACUCCGACGGGAGGCAGCAGUGGGGAAUAUUGCACAAUGGGCGGAAGCCUGAUGCAGCGACGCCGCGUGGGGGAUGACGGCCUUCGGGUUGUAAACUCCUUUCGACCGCGAGGAAGCCACCUGGUUGGAAGGGUGGUGACGGUAGUGGUAGAAGAAGCACCGGCUAACUACGUG
This 494-nucleotide ribosomal RNA is filed under the name uncultured bacterium. Its description in RNAcentral is "partial 16S ribosomal RNA". It matches the Rfam family "Bacterial small subunit ribosomal RNA", at positions 28 to 507 of the family's 1533-position model. The record is from RNAcentral.